This is a long non-coding RNA of Brassica oleracea var. oleracea, 423 nucleotides long. RefSeq lists it as uncharacterized. The record is from RefSeq and is a predicted model, not a curated record. The transcript has 3 exons. NCBI's taxonomy places the organism in Eukaryota, Viridiplantae, Streptophyta, Magnoliopsida, Brassicales, Brassicaceae.
CGUUGUUUCUCUUCGUCUUUCUCUCCCUUUUUUCUUAUCUCACGAGACUUGAUCUCUUUUUUUCGAUCUCGCUAGACCUUCAUCAUCGAUCACGACAUCGAUUCACACCUUUUGGGUCAUUGAUUUUGGGUUAUCAAUCACAACAAAGCAACUCAUCUUCCUUGUGAGACGGUUGUUAUUAGACCGAGUCCAAAUGAUGUGGAAGACAUGAUCACACGUCCACCAAAGGAGUGAAAACAAUGGGCAUUAGAGAAGUGAACGAAACGAUGAAGUGGCUCGAUUGGAAUUAGAGACUUUUGUUUGUGUUCUAUUAUCAAACGACGAGAGUUCUUGUUAAUGUGUAAUGGUGGAGACUAGAGAGACAAUCUUGUUUUUCUUGCUAGACAUUUGAUUUUCUGUUAUUUCAAAUAUUUUGAUGAGUUA